This 369-nucleotide long non-coding RNA is filed under the name Homo sapiens (human). RNAcentral's name for it is "non-protein coding lnc-CLNS1A-3:4". The record is from RNAcentral. Lineage: Eukaryota; Metazoa; Chordata; Mammalia; Primates; Hominidae.
AAAAAAGGUAAACAUAUAUUCCCACAAAAUAUAGCAGUCUAAGCCUCUAAACAGUACAAAUGAGGACAGUGUAGCAGUUUAUGCUCAUAAAAAGAUGAAAUCUACAUAAGAUGUUAUGAUUCCUCCGCUGCUGUUAGACUGAUUUCUUGAUUGUCCCUGUGUCUGUGAGUCACCACACUUAAGAUGCAAACUUCUGGUUGGCACUGUGUGUCUUCAUUGCCAAGGGCAGAAGGAGUAUCUGGGCCUUUCAGCUUCUACAGUGGAAGGACGCUGCCGCUGUGCAGAUGCUCACAGUACCCCAGGUAAGAAGGAUGCUUAGAUGCUGGAUUGCAAAAAAUGUACAGCUGUCUACUACAACCCCAAAUCUUU